Molecule: ribosomal RNA, 253 nt
Filed under: uncultured bacterium
Lineage: Bacteria
Description: partial 16S ribosomal RNA
Rfam family: Bacterial small subunit ribosomal RNA
Source: RNAcentral
UACGGGGGGGGCAAGCGUUGUUCGGAAUUACUGGGCGUAAAGGGCUCGUAGGUGGCCAACUAAGUCAGACGUGAAAUCCCUCGGCUUAACCGGGGAACUGCGUCUGAUACUGGAUGGCUUGAGUUUGGGAGAGGGAUGCGGAAUUCCAGGUGUAGCGGUGAAAUGCGUAGAUAUCUGGAGGAACACCGGUGGCGAAGGCGAUCUUCUGGUCUGUUUCUGACACUCAGACGCGACAGCUAGGGUAGUAAACGGG